GCCAGCAGCCAUAUCCCCCUGCAACUCACAACUGGCAACCCACUGAAGCUCAGCAGGUGUGAGCCUGGUCAGUACCUGGAUGGGAGACCACCUGGAAAAAAUUAAGUUGCUGCUGGAA
Molecule: ribosomal RNA, 118 nt
Filed under: Lepisosteus oculatus (spotted gar)
Lineage: Eukaryota; Metazoa; Chordata; Actinopteri; Semionotiformes; Lepisosteidae
Source: RNAcentral